CAGCCACGUCAACAGUGGGCGUCAGGCUUGUAAGAGACAUGAAUUAUAUGUGAGCUUGAGUGACCUAGGCUGGAAGGACUGGGUCCUGGCUCGGAGUGGUUACUCUGCCUUCUACAGUGAUGGAGAAUGCCUAUACCCUCUGGGUUCCUGCAUGAACGACACCAACCACGCUAUGAUCCAACUAGUGGUUCACCUUUUGAAGCCGGAUGAGGUUCCCAAAGCGUGCUGCGCACCCACCAAGCUCAGUCCCAUCUCUGUACUCUUCUACGACGACAACAAUCUACGACGACAACAACAAUGUGAUCCUAAAGAAGCAUCGCAACAUGGUGGUCAAGACCUGUGGAUGCCUGUAACAUCUGUGGUGGCUCAUCUAUUCUACAUCAUUUUAAUAAACUUCACUACCAUUGUUCCAAAAGAUACACACAGGGUUGAUAGCAAUAAUCUGGCAAUAUGAGGCUAAAUAGUAUGUAUCUACACUGAACAAAAACAUAAACGCAACAUGCAACAAUUUCAAUGAUUUUACUGAGUUAUAGUUCAUAUAAGGACAUCAGUCAAUUAAAAUAUGUUCUUUAGGCCCUAAUCUAUGGAUUUCACAUGACUGGGAAUACAGAUGUGCAUCUGUUGGUAACAGAUACCUUUUUAAAUGAAGAUAGAGCGUGGAUCAGAAAACCAGUCAGUAUCUGGUGUGACCACCAUCUGCCUCAUGCAGCGGGACACAUUUAAUUUAAUAUAUAUAUUAAUAUAACCUUUAUUUAA
Long non-coding RNA from Oncorhynchus masou masou (cherry salmon), 756 nucleotides. RefSeq lists it as uncharacterized. The transcript has 3 exons. The record is from RefSeq and is a predicted model, not a curated record. Lineage: Eukaryota; Metazoa; Chordata; Actinopteri; Salmoniformes; Salmonidae.